RNAcentral lists this ribosomal RNA (425 nucleotides) under uncultured bacterium. RNAcentral describes it as "bacterial SSU rRNA". It matches the Rfam family "Bacterial small subunit ribosomal RNA", at positions 354 to 796 of the family's 1533-position model. The record is from RNAcentral.
GUGGGGAAUCUUGGACAAUGGGGGCAACCCUGAUCCAGCCAUGCCGCGUGAGCGAUGAAGGUCUUCGGAUUGUAAAGCUCUUUUGGCGGGGACGAUAAUGACGGUACCCGCAGAAUAAGCCCCGGCUAACUUCGUGCCAGCAGCCGCGGUAAUACGAAGGGGGCUAGCGUUGUUCGGAAUUACUGGGCGUAAAGCGCGCGCAGGCGGUCUGUUAAGUUAGGGGUGAAAUCCCUGGGCUCAACCCAGGAAUUGCCUUUAAGACUGGCAGGCUUGAGUGCGGGAGAGGUGAGUGGAAUUCCCAGUGUAGAGGUGAAAUUCGUAGAUAUUGGGAAGAACACCAGUGGCGAAGGCGGCUCACUGGCCCGUAACUGACGCUGAGGCGCGAAAGCGUGGGGAGCAAACAGGAUUAGAUACCCGUGUAGUCC